Micropterus salmoides (largemouth bass) is the source of this 503-nucleotide long non-coding RNA. RefSeq lists it as uncharacterized. The transcript is spliced from 3 exons. NCBI's taxonomy places the organism in Eukaryota, Metazoa, Chordata, Actinopteri, Centrarchiformes, Centrarchidae. The record is from RefSeq and is a predicted model, not a curated record.
CCCCAGUUUAUGCGGCAAGAGUUCUGCUUGCUGCUUUGGACUACAGUUUCCACCGGAACCGACCAACAAUGAAAAACGUUGGACGGUAAAGAGAUUUUCAGAAGAUUGUAUAAGAAGAACGGUAUGCCUUGAAAUCUGAAAAAACCUACGGAUACAUUUCCGAGUUGCAAAGAAGGAUUGUGAAGAACAGACUCACAAGUGGAGUGGGGAUGCCUAGAAGGAGGAGCCUUCUCCCAGAUGACCCCAGACAGCUUGGUUUGGUGCCCCCCGUACCUGCACCAGCCACAUCAGAAUUGUUGCAGAAACAAGUCAGAAGAGGUCUAGGACCGUUAUUCCAACCAGCAUCUGAUGUGGAAGGAUCCCCACAGGAGAUCACCUUGCAUGUGUCCUGGUACUUGUCAAGCAGGAUCACAAGGGAAAGAACUUCAGUUCACUGACAAAGUCAUAGCUUUUACUCUUCAAAAAGAGAAAUUUAUUAACAUUAAAUUCUGUUCCUACCCUCC